CUCGCUGUGUGGUCCAAUUCGACAAGAUUUCUUCUACUUUGGAAGUUUGUGUACUUCUGGAUUUGCUGGAAUCUAUGCGUGCGGUUUCUUGGAUCUCAUGGCCACGCCCACUUUUACAACAGUAGCACUUAAGAACGUUUGAUGCUGACUGACGUUACAGACUGCAGACGUGACUAGUAGAAGGCCGAAACUAGAACACGUCGGGGGAACGGCUUCGUGUGAGAAAGUGAAUCGACUCAGAUGCAGGAAGUGAUCUGAACAUGCCGUGCGUUUUGAGAAAGGUUUUGCUGCACCAGUCCGUACAGGAUUUCGUGGAGGUUUGUUCUUUUUUGUGAUUGCUGCAGCCAAAAACGCUCGAUUUUGCUGCAGCUUUUACUUUUUUUUUUUUUUUGAGUUCUAUUGUGCUUUUUUUGGUGGAAAACUACUUGAAUUGGCGAAUUCGCAGUUAUUCGAAAUUGUCCUGCAUGCUCUUUUGCAGUGAUGUUUGUUGGUAAAUGAGACCAUUUAGCUGUACUCAUGUUCGAGGAGCGUGAAUUGAAGAGGGCUUCGGCUUAAUGCGUGUCGCGAUGACGUCUCUGGCAUGUCUUGGACUGAAUCUGUGGUAUUUUGAAAAACUGCAAGCUCCUCUGAAUAUCGCAAGAUCUUAUAAUCCUGGAAGGACUGCUGCACAAUCAAAAGUCCACGACAGUAAUCAAGUCACCAGGCCUGUUCCUGGAGAUGAUUCCUCCUGAAGACUUUAGCUCCAACCAUAAUGCUGCCCACCUGACCAUCUAAUCUCUGCCUAAAGAAGUUCUCGAUCAACUAAAACAGGUGUGUUAGAUUUUGGUUGGCGAUGAAACCUGCAGGACGACGGAUCUCAGGGAAGCGUGCUGGUCGAAGAGGUAAAGCUGGACCGGAUCCGACUCCUCCUAUAACCCAGCAUUCUGUGUGCUGUGUGUUUAUUGCUGUGCGUUUGACCGUACAAAUAAACCGACAGCAAAUGCUUUUUGUGAUCAAAGUCUUCCUGCUUGGACCCCCUGUUUGAAAAUUCUGAGUUCUCACAGCUUUCAAGUGUGUUUGUGUGUGUGUAUAGUAUAUGUGUGUAUGUGUAUGUACAGUUUGCGUAUGUACAGUGUGUGUUUUGUGUGUGUGUAUGUACAGUGUGUGUGUACAGUGUGUAUGUACAGUGUGUGUGUGUGUGUGUAUAGUAUGUGUGUGUAUGUACAGUGUGUGUAUGUACAGUGUUGUGUGUGUGUACAGUGUGUGUGUGGGUGCACUGCAGAGAGCGCCUCUAAUGCCGCAAACAAGCACUGCUAAUCUGCCUUCUCAUCUAAAGCUGUCUGAUAUUCUGAAUUAGAGCCGGCUACUCGAGAACUCCUGCAGUAAGGGAGUGAGUGUGGAGAAGGAGGAGAAGGAGGAGAAGGAGGAGAAGGAGGAGGAGAAGUAGAAGGAGGAGAAGGAGGAGGAGGAGGAGGAGGAGGAGAGCACGCAGAAGCAGGAAAUCAGUAUGAGCUGGAUCUGAGGUCGACGCUACGUGUUUGAAACGUUCUGUACAGAAGCUGUUGUAGCACUGUGGAGACG
Molecule: long non-coding RNA, 1560 nt
Organism: Ictalurus punctatus (channel catfish)
Lineage: Eukaryota; Metazoa; Chordata; Actinopteri; Siluriformes; Ictaluridae
Source: Ensembl